This 2528-nucleotide long non-coding RNA is filed under the name Rattus norvegicus (Norway rat). Its description in RNAcentral is "long non-coding RNA NONRATT002775". The record is from RNAcentral. Lineage: Eukaryota; Metazoa; Chordata; Mammalia; Rodentia; Muridae.
UGACAGCUCAUAAUUGUCUGUGACUCCAGUUCCAGACCUCUCCUGGUCUCAUUGGGCAUGGGUAAGGUACACAGACACAUGCAGGGAACACCUAUAUACGUAAAAAUUAACAAACAAAAAAUCCUUGUAAGGGCAUGGAAGGAGUCAUUAAGACUUGGACUCAGCUCUCACGGGUCAAAGGGACUCCAGAUGAGUACGGAGUAAGCCUCUCAUCUGCCUAUUCCCGAGGGUAGCCUCUCUCCCCUGGUCUUGGGACUCUUCCCCUCCCCCACCCCCCCAGUUUCCAAAUGUAAGAUUUUCCUUUAAGGUCCUAAACUUUAACUUCUGUCCCAAGUCUGUCUGUCUCAGCAGAUUUCCACUUGGCUGACAGACACCAUCCAGGAAUCAACUAUGGACUACAAACUGCUCGAAACGGCCCUGAGCUCUGGACUCGAUAAAUGCGGCUAUGAACCAGUCGCCGAUGUCGCUCCCUGUGUCUUCUGCUGGGUCAUCUAACCGGAUGCUCCUGAUGUACGUCCCAUUACCUGAAUCCCCUCCCUGCCUUUGACUAACGUUCCAGCCUUCCCAAGCCCUGGCGACGUCCUUGUCUCAGCAGGAAGUAGCUACAGAAGAGAGUGCGUCGCCCCUUGUCCCCGACAGGCUGGAAUGUUAGAUCGAAAGGGCAUUCCCUGGUGUAGGGGACAAAAUGGCUACCUAUAGUGCCUAUUGGCAUACCAGGAAAGAUUCCUGUUCAACUCAGAGAGACCCAGCCCUAUCAACAGGUAGAUUCAUCAGCUGAAGUAGUUGUUCAAAGUGACAGGGCCCAGACCUGCCUUAUGCAGGGACAGGGAGGUGUUGUGUGGCUUUAAGAGGAAACUGUUGGUUGUAUACAAACCACUCAGGGAUCAUCAGAGGUAAUCUGACUGUACUCAAAGAAAUUUUCCAGAAAUGGCUGUUCCCCAUUCUCAUCGUCACUCCUCCUAGUUAGUAACUCUGACGGCUUAGUAAUCUCAGGGUCUUUGACCCUUGUAUUUCAGCCAAUUACCUCUGCCUCUUGCUCAUUAGUGACUUAAGUAGAUAAUAAUUCCUGCCUGGGUACUGUUAGGCUGAUGGCUGUUAGAUCCCAGUGUAAACAGGUACCCAUCGCAGAGCCAGGGAUUCGACUCGGGAUACAACUCGAGGAAAGGAUGUGAGAGACAAUGCUAUACUAUUUUAAGUUUCAAUUACGGUGCCUAAGAGACCCACUAAACAAAAAUACCUCUAUUGUGGGCCACGUUCCUGAAAGGCUGGAGGCUGCUGUUGGUGGGAGACAACAAGCCAUGUGGCCUGCUCCCCUAAACAACUUUGUUUGACACACCACACUGGGUGUGCUCGUUCACAGGUAGUGGGGAGGUACACGGGCGGGAAAUAAAUCAGGAUAUAUGUUUGCCCCUGAUUGGAUCUGGUGGGAAAUAUGGUGUUUUAUGGGAUUUGUCUUUUUAAGCCUGAAUGUGACUGGCCAGAGUCCAUCAUCCUGACCACUAUAUAAUUAAAGCUUGUUUCAAACUUAGCUCAGAGUCGUGGUAGUGGUCUUAUUCUUGCCCGUGGGAUUAACAUUAGCCUUUUGUGUGCUGGGGUGUAUAAGCAAGUUCCACUGUGGCCAUCCCCAAAAUUCCUAGAAACUUAACUGCCACACCCACUCCAGUAGAGUCUGUGUGACAUGAACCUCUUGUGCUUCGUUUCUAUCCAGAACAGAGGCCUGUGCCUGGAAUGGCUUGGCCUCCUGGAGGUCCCUGGCCGUCUCCCUACAAAAAGAUGAUGACUGGGGUCUAUGCUUGCAGUGGAGGUGCCUUCUGUGUUCUAGCCUUGGUGAUCUUAGCAACUUUAAGCCUGUCAACAAUAUCUGAUUUUAAGAAUGUAGCAGUGUGGGAAGAUGGUCAUGGACCUUUAGAUGUCUCAGGAACUGAAAGUUCAGAGACAUCUAAACCACCACGUCUCACACCACCAUGAUCCUGAUGAACUCAACGGCUGCGAUGAACUCAACUGCUGCACCCAUUCGUUCCCAGCAAAUAGGAGAGAAAUUAAUUGCAGUUACUAAUAACAUGACUGUUCCAGAAAAGCCCCCCCCUUUGGGAAAGUUUUGUUUAGCAUGAUUCAGAAUAGUAGUGACUCUUAGAAAGAUCAUGGAUAAGUUCCAACAAGUUGAGCAAAUUUAUCAAGAGUUAACUAGAAGGAAAAGAGAAACUAACAUUGAGCAAGAAACGAAAGAAAUUAUAGAAUGGUUACAAAAGUUUCCUUUUUAUUCUGAGGGCCCAUAGAGUUUAAACUUUAUUAAAAUAAAGGUAAAUGUUAAAUGUAUAUCUGGUACCCACAAGUCUGGUAGUAUAACUGCAGUUUUCUAAACUAUUGUUUGCGGCUGAGAACUGUUUCCUGGACUGUAUAUUCAGCUUUCCUUCUUACAAGGGACAUUUGGUGGGGUGAUGAAUAAGAGCUGGAUGACUGCCAAUUAUGAUGCACCUGUUCUAACUGCUUAAAUAUGUGCCAAGAAGUAAAGCUUUUGCAGCAGCACA